CCGAUGCCGUAUCCUGCCGCCCGUUUUACCCGCGGGAAAGCCGAGGCCCGGUGCUGUAUUCUGCCGCCCAUUUUACCCGCGGGGAAGCUGAGGCCCAGUGCUGUUUAAUAUCUUACUCAUGUUCACUUGAUGAGAAAGUGACAGAUCUGAGACAAACCCAGAUCGACAGAAAAGAAAUGAGUCAACGAUGGUGCAGGUGAUCUGUGCAGUGCUGUGCAGGGGAUGGGUCAAAGCUGUGAUGCUGGCAUGCAACUAACUCACCAUUAAAGGGACCAGCUUGACGAAGCUUCUGCUUUUGUGACUGUCUCCUAAUGGGAGAAGUGAAAUUCUACCUCACUUUUUUAAAAGAAGAGCCUGGAAUUGGCCUAUCCGUCUUUUUCCCCGUUGGAUCACAGAGCAGAAAGGAAGCUAAGACCUCUAGUACAGUGUUCAAUGGAACUGGUGAGAAAAGACGUCCUUGCUGUGUUCCUGAUAUGAAGAGGAAAGCAGUCCUUCUCCAUUAAAUGCUGACAACAUGAGCCUCCCGUGGUCGGAACGGGCUUGUGAAGGCGGUGCUGGGGUGCACCAGGGCAGCAGCUACAGGCCCUGCUGAAAGGGUUGACAAUGAAGACUCUCAGGCCACCGUAACUCAUGGAGAAGCCCUGAGCAUCUGGCCCGCUUAAUGCACCAGCUGGAGUCGACAUUAAAGGGCCCCAUUUCCCAUUUGCUGCAGAAGAUGUUUAAUUGGAAGUCUCUCCCUGUCCUUUUACCCUCUGGUGCUGGGCACCAAUGAGAAGCUCAUCUGGCCCCGGGAUCCUGGCAGGACACUGGGAGCACUAUUUCCAUGGGCAGCAGGGUUGUUCCUGGAGACAUCACUGACCCAGGACACCUAGCACAAUGGCACUCGAUGUGAAAGUGGCUUCGUACAAAUCUGCCACUCAAGCCUAAAUAAGUGCAUUCCAGAAGAGCCGCAGCCCCUCUAACAGCUCCUGAGGUGAGGGAAACCCUAGGGAUGGGAAGUUGGAGCAGAAAGAGAUGGUGGCCUGAAGUCAACUGCAGUGAAAAUCUCUCCCCAUCAGCAAGUUUUGCAAAGCUAUGGCCACAGGGACACAUGACUGGGGCCCCUCCUAGUCUUGGAAGGAGCCCCCAUGGAAAUGAGGGCCUCACAGUGAAUCCACCUCUGAUCCUACUUCACCUGCAGUCAAAUGAGAAGAGAUUUCAAUCAGCUAAAGACACCCUAUCCCCUCUCCCCGACCCCUGCGACCCCAGGAGCUCCUGCCUUGUCACUGUGUCCCCAAACGAACCGCAUCUGAAUCAAGCCCCUUUCUCUCCCUAGUGGUCAACAUCUGGGCUGUGAUGGGCAGCUCCCACUCUUGCCUUAGAAUAUGACUGGAGAGGUGACUUCUCAUCACAUGGAGAAUAUGUUCACCCCAUGGUGCUUUCCACCCAAGCUGACCAUGGCUUGACUUUUUGGUGUAGUUGCUAGCUCUGUGCCAUCCUUGGCAAUGUGACCCUGGAGCAGCUGUCCCCAGUGUGCAUUUGGGGGAUUUCAUGUAAUUAUGAAUAGGAUGCAAAUUUUAUAGCCCCAGUGAAGGGAAACACCCCUGGCGAGGCUUCCCGGGGCCAGAGAGAGGACUCCACUGAGGGAGAUGGUGGCAGGGCCAUUCUUUGUGUCCUGCUUUUUUUUUUUUUUUUUUUUUUAACAUCCUCUUUAUGUCCUGAGAGCCAUGUGCAGAUGAGGAAAAAUGACAUGCAAUGCAUUUUUGCCUGCCACAAUGACUUUGCAAUCAUAACAAGCAAAAUGUUCUAAACAGUAAGUGAAUCGAGGAAGAUAUACUGCCAAGUCAGGAAGAAAAAAUCCACCUGUUCAGUGAUUUCAGGAACUGCUGAAGAAAAUCACCAGUGAGUAUCAGUUUCUGCAAGAGAAUCUAAUGCAGGCUUUGCUUCUCAUCGGAAUCCCCCAGCUGGUGUCUUGGUUGACUGAGAGUCUGGGGGAGAGGGCAGAGAAUGGAUUUAUUCUCUGCUAGGUUUUUAACAGUCAAGAAGGGCUGUGGUCCUAAGGGGCACUGGUCAAACCUUAGUGUGCAUCAGAAUUAUCUGGAUAAGGCUAGGCACAGUGGCUCACGCCUGUAAUCACAGCACUUUGGGAGGCUGAGGCGCGUGGAUCACCUGAGGUCAGAAGUUCAAGACCAGCCUGGCUCUUUUAGUAGAGAAACCCUAUGUCUAUUAAAAAGUACAAAAUUUAGCCAGGUGUGGUGGUGAGUGCCUGUAAUCCCAGCUACUUGGGAGGCUGAGGCAGGACAGUCACUUGAAUCUAGGAGGCAGAGGUUGCAGUGAACUGAGAUCGUGCCAUUGUGCUCCAGCCUGGGCAACAAGAGUGAAACUCUAUCUC
This 2371-nucleotide long non-coding RNA is filed under the name Homo sapiens (human). RNAcentral's name for it is "PREDICTED lncRNA (TCONS_00168772)". The record is from RNAcentral. Lineage: Eukaryota; Metazoa; Chordata; Mammalia; Primates; Hominidae.